UCCCUCCUGAAGCUGCAUGCUCAGUUGAAGAGGAAGACCUUUCCUGACAGAGGAAGG
RNAcentral lists this small RNA (57 nucleotides) under Jaculus jaculus (lesser Egyptian jerboa). RNAcentral describes it as "7SK RNA (ENSJJAG00000008082.1)". Lineage: Eukaryota; Metazoa; Chordata; Mammalia; Rodentia; Dipodidae. The record is from RNAcentral.